GAAUCUUAGACAAUGGGGGAAACCCUGAUCUAGCCAUGCCGCGUGAUCGAUGAAGGCCUUAGGGUUGUAAAGAUUUUUCAGCUGGGAAGAUAAUGACGGUACCAACAGAAGAAGCCCCGGCUAACCUCGUGACCGCAGCCGCGGUAAGACGGAGGGAGCUAGCGUUAUUCGGAUUUACGGGGCGGAAAGCGAACGCAGGCGGAUCAGAAAGUUAGGGGUGGAAUCCCGGGGCUCAACCUCGGAACUGCCUCUAAAACUCCUGGUCUUGAGGUCGAGAGAGGUGAGUGGAAUUCCGAGUGUAGAGGUGAAAUUCGUAGAUAUUCGGAGGAACACCAGUGGCGAAGGCGGCUCACUGGCUCGAUACUGACGCUGAGGUGCGAAAGCGUGGGGAGCAAACA
RNAcentral lists this ribosomal RNA (398 nucleotides) under uncultured bacterium. Its description in RNAcentral is "partial 16S ribosomal RNA". It matches the Rfam family "Bacterial small subunit ribosomal RNA", at positions 359 to 774 of the family's 1533-position model. The record is from RNAcentral.